This 77-nucleotide transfer RNA is filed under the name Actinomycetota bacterium. RNAcentral describes it as "Actinobacteria bacterium (freshwater metagenome) tRNA-Val". It matches the Rfam family "tRNA". From Rfam's summary of the family: Transfer RNA (tRNA) molecules are approximately 80 nucleotides in length. Their secondary structure includes four short double-helical elements and three loops (D, anti-codon, and T loops). Lineage: Bacteria; Bacillati; Actinomycetota. The record is from RNAcentral.
GGGCGGUUAGCUCAGCUGGUUAGAGCGCUGCGUCGACAUCGCAGAGGCCAUUGGUUCAAAUCCAAUAUCGCCCACCA